UACGGGGGGGGCAAGCGUUGUUCGGAAUUACUGGGCGUAAAGGGCCAGUAGGCGGCCAACUAAGUCGGAUGUGAAAUCCCCAGGCUCAACUUGGGAACUGCAUCCGAUACUGGAUGGCUUGAAUUCGGGAGAGGGAUGCAGAAUUCCAGGUGUAGCGGUGAAAUGCGUAGAUAUCUGGAGGAACACCGGUGGCGAAGGCGGCAUCCUGGACCGACACUGACGCUGAGGAGCGAAAGCCAGGGGAGCAAACGGG
Molecule: ribosomal RNA, 253 nt
Filed under: uncultured bacterium
Lineage: Bacteria
Description: partial 16S ribosomal RNA
Rfam family: Bacterial small subunit ribosomal RNA
Source: RNAcentral